Molecule: long non-coding RNA, 2107 nt
Organism: Populus trichocarpa (black cottonwood)
Lineage: Eukaryota; Viridiplantae; Streptophyta; Magnoliopsida; Malpighiales; Salicaceae
Exons: 4
Source: RefSeq, a predicted model, not a curated record
CCAAAACUUAAACGAGGAAAACAACUACAUACCCAAUUCAUUGUUAAUGGGUUAAACAUCACCAAUGGUUUAAUGGGUGGGAAAAUGUGGGGUAUGCAUGUGCUGUGUAAUGGUUUUUAUGGAUGCUAAGAAACUGUUUAAUCAGCUUGAGUUUUAUUAUGCCAUGCCAUGGAAAUGGAUGAUUAGAGGGUCUGUGAAAAUGGGUUGCUUCGAUUUCGAUUUAUUGUUUUGUUUUAAAAUGUUGGGUUGUGGUGCUUUGCCUGUUCAAGUAUACUUUUCCUUAUGUAAUUAAGGCUUGUACUGGUUUGAAUAAUGUUAGAUUAGGGAAGGGAUAUGCUUGUUGGUAGUUCUUUGCUGAAGGGUGUUUGUUUGAUGAAGUGAUCGAUAAAGAUUGUGUUUUGUGCAAUGUGGAACUUGCUGAAGUGGCUUCAAGAUAUCUCCUUGACUUGGACCCAAAAAUCUCUGGUUACUAUUUAUUGCUUUCACAUGUACUUGCCGACUCUGAACAAUGGAGGAGUGUGCGUUGGAUACGACAUUUGACGAAAGAUAGAGGAGUCUACAAAGUUCCUGGAUGCAGUUGGAUUUGUGGUCACCAACACCUCUCAUAUGUUUUAUGCUGCAGAUGAAAGUCACCCAGAGUAGCCUCAGAUCUAUUCCUCACUGAAGAGUCUGCUCCUAGAGCUAAGAAAAGAAGGUUAUGUUCCUCAAGCUGUACGAACAGCUUCUUUGGAAAUGACUGAAUCUGGAGAAUCAGACAUGCAUGGCACAAGCAAUUUUAAGAAAAACGCAGUCAAAGGGGAAAUCAAACAGGAACAGCAUGAAAGAUUUUCGUGGCUCGAGCAUCUUCUUUGUUUGAUCUUAUAUCGAUCCAAAUGAGGUGAGGUUAGAACAAAAAACUAGUUUUCAUUUUCUUUCAUUGUCUGUGGUUUACUAUUAUUUUUUUUGUGUUGAAUAAUGAAAUUGGUUAACUUUUAUUUAAUUUUCAGCUUUAUAUUACUUUGUGUCUCGAAAAGUAGGCUUUCGCAAGUUUUAAAAAAAUUCAGUGCAACAUGACAUGCUUUCCAAGAAUUCACUGAGGGAAAGAACUUAACACAGAUUGCUCCAGUUUUUUCUCCUUACUCACACUCUAAGUUGGUAUUGCCCUAGCACCUAUACUUCUUGUAAUGUGAGAGUUUUAAGUGAACAAAUGGCAAAGCCUCAUUAAUUAAUAUGGGAUUCGCUCCUAGUCGCUGCUCGAUGCCGCGGCGAAUACAUAGGUCACGGUGCAGAAACUCACCUCAAAUGGACUACCAUGCACUCUAGAGGAUCGCUUCCUUCUGGGACACAGUUCCACUAAUUUCUCGAAAUAGCUGGUAUGAAAUGAAGAUGGAGAUGACAUGUAUCCAACAACUCCUGCACUCACCAUCAAGUUAUGAUGAAAAAUUAUCUUGCUGAGGACACCUCAUCUGGUUUGCGGUUCCCUGCUUAUUCAUUGCCAUAUUUUUUUCAAUAUUAGAGCUCAUUAAUUACUUGAUCAGCAGCUGGUGAUAACUCCUUUGAUCUAAACCGGACAAGUCCACGGUUACCAAGAUCUAGCCAAAGCAAUUGGCAGUUCACAGCUCUGGUGGGCACUAUGCAAGGUUUGACAUCCUACUUGAAUUUGGAACUGGGGUUAGGGAGAUCAAUAGCAUAAAUAUUAGAGGUCUGCUGGUAUAUACAGAAUUUUUAAUAGUUAAUUUCAAUGUCAUUGCUUUGGCUUGCAAGUGCAACAUAUAGAAGACUACACUUGGAGAGAACUGUGUUGGUAGAUAAAAAUGAUGUUGUCUGCAACACCAUGACAUCAAGAACUAGAAGGGAAAAGUAAAGCAACAAAAAGACCUCAAUAAUCAACAAAACUACUCGCAAGAAAUUCCCUAUUCCUGUAUUUUCUUUUUGAUAAGUUUUCAUGAUCUUCUGUAGCCAAAAAAAAAACAUUUGUACUUUGUAGACUGUCAAAGCUAAUUAGCAAGGACCAUGAAUCAGACACCCAGGUGUGGUUUAUAAUCUAUAGUCUGAUUACCAUCUUGGUUCGUUUCCAUUCUGGAUUGGAACUUGUGGAUUGUUUGUCCUUGAUAUAUUCAUUGACAAA